UACGUAGGGUGCGAGCGUUAAUCGGAAUUACUGGGCGUAAAGCGUGCGCAGGCGGCUUUGCAAGACAGAUGUGAAAUCCCCGGGCUCAACCUGGGAACUGCAUCUGUGACUGCAUCGCUGGAGUGCGGCAGAGGGGGAUGGAAUUCCGCGUGUAGCAGUGAAAUGCGUAGAUAUGCGGAGGAACACCGAUGGCGAAGGCAAUCCCCUGGGCCUGCACUGACGCUCAUGCACGAAAGCGUGGGGAGCAAACAGG
Molecule: ribosomal RNA, 253 nt
Filed under: uncultured bacterium
Lineage: Bacteria
Description: partial 16S ribosomal RNA
Rfam family: Bacterial small subunit ribosomal RNA
Source: RNAcentral